This 467-nucleotide ribosomal RNA is filed under the name uncultured bacterium. RNAcentral describes it as "partial 16S ribosomal RNA". It matches the Rfam family "Bacterial small subunit ribosomal RNA", at positions 28 to 507 of the family's 1533-position model. The record is from RNAcentral.
GAUGAACGCUGACAGAAUGCUUAACACAUGCAAGUCAACUUGAAUUUGGGUUUUUAACUUAGGUUUGGGUGGCGGACGGGUGAGUAACGCGUAAAGAACUUGCCUCACAGCUAGGGACAACAUUUGGAAACGAAUGCUAAUACCUAAUAUUAUGAUAAUAGGGCAUCCUAUAAUUAUGAAAGCUAUAAGCGCUGUGAGAGAGCUUUGCGUCCCAUUAGCUAGUUGGAGAGGUAACGGCUCACCAAGGCGAUGAUGGGUAGCCGGCCUGAGAGGGUGAUCGGCCACAAGGGGACUGAGACACGGCCCUUACUCCUACGGGAGGCAGCAGUGGGGAAUAUUGGACAAUGGACCAAGAGUCUGAUCCAGAAAUUCUGUGUGCACGAUGAAGUUUUUCGGAAUGUAAAGUGCUUUCAGUUGGGAAGAAAGAAAUGACGGUACCAACAGAAGAAGAGACGGCUAAAUACGUG